CACAUUUCAUCUUCAUCUCUUUUCUUCUUCUUUUUCUUUUGACCAAUGAGUUAAUGAUUUGUGGUUAGCCUUGACAUAUGAGAGGCUUAACCUUCUUUGAUCCAAAUCAAAUUCAACUUGAUCAAAGAUCAAGUGAAUUGCUUUGUGUCCAAGAUAGGUUGCUUCUUGGUCAAGCAAAAAACCUAAAAUCCAUACAAGGUCA
Molecule: long non-coding RNA, 202 nt
Filed under: Lathyrus oleraceus (garden pea)
Lineage: Eukaryota; Viridiplantae; Streptophyta; Magnoliopsida; Fabales; Fabaceae
Description: Pisum sativum (pea) long non-coding RNA (PSAT_LNC024063)
Source: RNAcentral